UGAGGAAUAUUGGGCAAUGCCCGCAAGGGUGACCCAGCAACGCCGCGUGGAGGAUGAAUGUCGUAAGAUUGUAAACUCCUGUUAGAGGGGAAGAAUAGUACCGGUUGGACCGGUAUAUGACUGUACCCUCAGAGAAAGCCCCGGCUAACUACGUGCAAGCAGCCGCGGUAAUACGUAGGGGGCAAGCGUUGUCCGGAUUUACUGGGUGUAAAGGGCGCGCAGGCGGGAUAAAAAGUCAGUGGUGAAAUCCUACAGCUUAACUGUAGAACUGCCUUUGAUACUUUUAGUCUUGAGUUCGGGAGAGAGAGACGGAAUUCCAGGUGUAGUGGUGAAAUACGUAGAUAUCUGGAAGAACACCAGUUGCGAAGGCGGUCUCUUGGUCCGACACUGACGCUGAGGCGCGAAAGCGUGGGGAGCAAACA
RNAcentral lists this ribosomal RNA (422 nucleotides) under uncultured bacterium. RNAcentral's name for it is "bacterial SSU rRNA". It matches the Rfam family "Bacterial small subunit ribosomal RNA", at positions 355 to 774 of the family's 1533-position model. The record is from RNAcentral.